This 445-nucleotide ribosomal RNA is filed under the name uncultured bacterium. Its description in RNAcentral is "partial 16S ribosomal RNA". It matches the Rfam family "Bacterial small subunit ribosomal RNA", at positions 354 to 796 of the family's 1533-position model. The record is from RNAcentral.
GUAGGGAAUAUUGGACAAUGGGCGAAAGCCUGAUCCAGCCAUGCCGCGUGAUAGAUGAAGGCCCUCUGGGUUGUAAAUAUCUUUUAUCUGGGAAGAAACUCCUCUAUUCUUAGAGGCCUGACGGUACCAGAGGAAUAAGCACCGGCUAACUCCGUGCCAGCAGCCGCGGUAAUACGGAGGGUGCAAGCGUUAUCCGGAUUCACUGGGUUUAAAGGGUGCGUAGGCGGGUUGAUAAGUCAGUGGUGAAAGCUCCGGGCUUAACUUGGAAACUGCCAUUGAUACUGUCAGUCUUGAAUGUCGUAGAGGUAAGCGGAAUGUUGCAUGUAGCGGUGAAAUGCUUAGAUAUGUUACAGAACACCAAUUGCGAAGGCAGCUUACUAUGCGAUAAUUGACGCUGAGGCACGAAAGCGUGGGGAGCAAACAGGAUUAGAAACCCCGGUAGUCC